GCACCAUCCGGUUUGCUCAAUUCAACCUCUGGGUGUUUUACAUAGGGGGAAGUGUCUGAGGGAAAACGUUUAUCAAACAUGAUGCAUUGGUAGGUUAAAUAGAAAAGAUGGAGUGACUAUUCAAAACCAUGGAAGAGAUUAUUUCAAAUGAGGGCACAAACUGACCGCCCGUGCGUCACACCUGGGAGCUGAGCUGAAGCCAAUGAUUUGAUCCGCGAGCCAUUAGACGCCAGAACGAGCAGACCAUGGGCUAAUAGAAUAGUGUCACAUGAAGUUUCGAUUACAAGCCAGACCAAGGGACUCACUAACUGUUCACUACAGGUCUUAAAGGGAUCGAGACACAUGGAAAACAUCAGGUUGGGUCACCACAGCAACCUUGGAUGGAGGCGAAAUAAGAGGAGAGGGCGAUCGCUCAUUAUGGAAUUAAUGGACAUUGUUGGCAGAGAUGGCUGAUUACUACCUGGACAGAAUGCAUCCGAAAACUACCUCUACUAGAACUACCUCUACAUAUGAGAUAGACAAGACGAGACCAGAGCAUGGGCUAUCAAAAGAUGAUGAAGGUCUCCGAAAUUAUAAACUGACAUAGUUUCAUGGGUUUGUGUUGCAAAAGUUCAGGAAUUCAUUAGAAACACUCAACAUGAAGUGAUCACAUACUCAUGUAUUCCUUUAAUAAUAUUUUGGCUUUGUGUGAUUCUGUGACUAAAUCUAUUCUGUAUUCUUGAUUAAGUCUUCUAAUAAGCUUAAUUUGGCUACAUCAGUGUAUUGUUUAUAAGGCAUGUUACCCAGAUAUUAAUCCUAAUUGGAUCAAAGCAAUUGUUUUAAUUGGCUUGAUAAUGUUUGCAUAUGACGUUGGAGAGCCUUCUUAGGUAUUUGUGUUGUAAUGUUUCUACUACAGGUUUUAUAAUCUGUGACGCCGUUGGCAUUCCAUUGUUGGUUUUUGGCGGUGUGGCAUGGCCGGGUUUGAGUGGUGUUCUCUCGGUCUGCUAUCAAUUUACUGGAACACUUAAAACUCCAAAGAAGGCUACUGACUCAUGUUUGGUCUACUUGGAUAUCUUCCCAUGAUAUGGAACAAUUCUGGAUUACAUACUGUAGAUGUAUUAUUGCAUUGACUUCUCUUCUUUUUACUUUAUAAAUAUGUGACACCUUAUAGUAUACUAUAGACUGUUCUCUAUGCUACAGCAUGGCAAGUGUUUAUUAUCUAUCUAUCUAUCCUGUUGCCGAGACACUUUAUCCCUACCAAUUUGUACAUACAGUGCAUUCAGAAAGUAUUCAAACCACUUGACCUUUUCGACAUUUUGAUACGUUAUAGCCUUACAUGCUGACCAGACGGGACACGUCGCAUGCGCGAGCGUCGAAAAAUAAAUGUAGAAUUAUUGCACCCAUACUGCUCACGCGCGCCAACUAGCGUCUGCGAUGCCAAGGGCUAAAAUAGAAGUCAUUCCUAUUUCUGACGCAGAUCGCGCUGAAAGUCCUGCCUCUCCCAUCUCCUCAUUGGUUUAUAGAAGCAGCUACCCACGUGC
Molecule: long non-coding RNA, 1520 nt
Organism: Oncorhynchus mykiss (rainbow trout)
Lineage: Eukaryota; Metazoa; Chordata; Actinopteri; Salmoniformes; Salmonidae
Source: RefSeq, a predicted model, not a curated record